UAGGGAAUCUUCCACAAUGGACGCAAGUCUGAUGGAGCAACGCCGCGUGAGUGAAGAAGGGUUUCGGCUCGUAAAGCUCUGUUGUUAAAGAAGAACGUGGGUAAGAGUAACUGUUUACCCAGUGACGGUAUUUAACCAGAAAGCCACGGCUAACUACGUCCCAG
Molecule: ribosomal RNA, 164 nt
Filed under: uncultured bacterium
Lineage: Bacteria
Description: partial 16S ribosomal RNA
Rfam family: Bacterial small subunit ribosomal RNA
Source: RNAcentral